Molecule: ribosomal RNA, 468 nt
Filed under: uncultured bacterium
Lineage: Bacteria
Description: partial 16S ribosomal RNA
Rfam family: Bacterial small subunit ribosomal RNA
Source: RNAcentral
GACGAACGCUGGCGGCGUGCUUAACACAUGCAAGUCGAACGGAAAGGCCCUGCUUUUGUGGGGUGCUCGAGUGGCGAACGGGUGAGUAACACGUGAGUAACCUGCCCUUGACUUUGGUAUAACUUCAGGAAACUGGGGCUAAUACCGGAUAGGAGCUCCUGCUGCAUGGUGGGGGUUGGAACGUUUCGGCGGUUGGGGAUGGACUCGCGGCUUAUCAGCUUGUUGGUGGGGUAGUGGCUUACCAAGGCUUUGACGGGUAGCCGGCCUGAGAGGGUGACCGGCCACAUUGGGACUGAGAGACGGCCCAGACUCCUACGGGAGGCAGCAGUGGGGAAUAUGGCACAAUGGGCGGAAGCCUGAGGCAGCAACGCCGCGUGCGGGAUGACGGCCUUCGGGUUGUAAACCGCUUUCGCCUGUGACGAAGCGGGAGUGACGGUAAUGGGUAAAGAAGCACCGGCUAACUACGUG